Molecule: ribosomal RNA, 257 nt
Filed under: Enterobacter asburiae
Lineage: Bacteria; Pseudomonadati; Pseudomonadota; Gammaproteobacteria; Enterobacterales; Enterobacteriaceae
Also listed under: 3 other names
Description: partial 23S ribosomal RNA
Rfam family: Bacterial large subunit ribosomal RNA
Source: RNAcentral
CCUCCAAGGCUAAAUACUCCUGACUGACCGAUAGUGAACCAGUACCGUGAGGGAAAGGCGAAAAGAACCCCGGCGAGGGGAGUGAAAAAGAACCUGAAACCGUGUACGUACAAGCAGUGGGAGCACCCUUGUGGUGUGACUGCGUACCUUUUGUAUAAUGGGUCAGCGACUUAUAUUCUGUAGCAAGGUUAACCGUAUAGGGGAGCCGAAGGGAAACCGAGUCUUAACUGGGCGUUAAGUUGCAGGGUAUAGACCCG